This 25-nucleotide ribosomal RNA is filed under the name Ageniaspis citricola. RNAcentral describes it as "partial 28S ribosomal RNA". Lineage: Eukaryota; Metazoa; Arthropoda; Insecta; Hymenoptera; Encyrtidae. The record is from RNAcentral.
UCGACGACCUCAGAGCAGGCGAGAC